AGGGAGAAAUGCAAAGGUUCGGCCGCCGAAGGUCACUUUCGGCCGCCGAACAUUGCAUGGUUUCGGAUUCAUGUUCGGCUGCCGAAGGUGGUCUAGCCAGCCACCUAUAAAAGGGCCAAAGGUCGGUGGAAGGAGGAUAUUUCUCCUCCACUUGCAGCCAGAGGUGAGUUCAAGCCUCUCCCAAGUUGACUGUCAUGUUUUUCAUGUUUUUCACCAAAUCUUUCAAGGGUUUUAAGAGUUUUGGUGUGUUUUGAAGGUUUUGAGCAAAAAUAGCAAGUUUGGAAGUUUGGAGCUUUAGCAGAGGUUUUCUUCAUAUCUCCACGUUAGGAUCACUCAUCCUCAAGUUCUUAAGGAGGUAAGGGUGGAUCCUGAACUUCCUUGCUGAUUUUUCAAGGUUUUAUGAAAGUUUGAUGGGUAGUAUGCAUGAUUAGGUUUAGGAGAGGUUUUUGGGAGAUGUUUAUGUUCAAGCAUGUGAAGUGUUGUUUGAUGUGUUUGUUUGAGGUUUUAGGCUCGUUUUGGACCUCUGUAUGCAUGUUUUAUGGUAUGUCCUAGUUGGGAGUAGUUGAUAUGCAUGUUGGGUAAGUUUUGGGUAAGUUUUGCAUGAAACAGAGCAGGGUUCUGCCCAACGGGCAAAACCAGGUUCUGCCGCCGAAGGAAGGUUCGGCCGCCGAACCCCUUGUGGAGGCAGUUUCGGCUGCCAAAGCUUGCCCCCGAAACUUGGGACUUUCGUCUCUGGAGGCAAGGUUCGGCUGCCGAAAGUGCCGCCGAAGGUUGAGUUUCAUCUCUGGACGAGACUUUCGGCUGCCGAAGGUGCCGCCGAACAUGCAUGAGUUUCGUCUCUGGAGAGGGGUUUCGGCCGCCGAACCUGCCGCUGAAAGUGCCCUGUCCAGCUUUCUGUUGCAUAUUUUAUGUGAUUGUUUGGGGAUCUUUGAGAGGGGUUUAAGGGAGUUUCUUAGAGAUGUUCUUGAGUUAGUUUGGUCCCUCAUUUGCGUCCACCUGUGUAGGAACGGACCAGAGGAACCCCAGAGAGCAGCAGUGAGCACUGCUUCAGAACUUGCAGAGUUAGUACAGAGUCAGCCAGAGGUGAGUGGACUUCUCUUUUCAGAACUAAACUGCUUUGAGCAUAUGUCAUGCAUCAUAAGAGUAUAGUAGGGUGUUUGCAUUAGUUGCACGAAGUUGACGCAUUGCAUAAUACGAUGAGGCUGUGGAUAGACCAAGGUGACUCCAAUAGCCCAAACUCUGUUAUAAGACCUGGCCGAGCCAGGCAGCCAUCUGUAGGUAAGACCUGACUAGAUCAGGCAGCAGAGAUAGUAAGACCUGGCUGGGCCAGGCAGGCAGAGUGGUAAGACCUGGCCGGGCCAGGCAAAUUGAGGUUGUAAGACCUGGCUAGGCCAGGCAUCCUUUGAGUGGGAUUGUUGGUGGUCAUGUCUGAUCCCUGAGAUGAUGUGAUGUAGUGCAUUCCAUGAGAUCAUGUUUUCAACUUAUGGUUUAUAUAGUUCUGCUCAUUGGGCUUGUAUAGCUCAUCCCUCUUCCUUAUCCCCCAGGUUUGCAGGUUCAGAGUUCAGAGGGAGUCCAGCAGGGUUUGCAAGAAGAAGAGUUAUGUAAUAGCUAGUGUGGACAUGUACAUGUAAAGAGAUAAUGUAUAGUGUGUAGCUUUGUGCUUGACUUAUAAGAGUUGUAAUCCCUUGUUGUAGACACAUGAUCAUUUUAUGUAUGUUUUCUUUUAUUGUUAUGACUAUGAGAAAACCAGGCUUAACAUUAUGAGUUGAUAGAUCAGAAAUCGUGCAUGCACAGGUUAAGCCCUGGAGAAAAGAAAAGUUUUAAUGGUUUGACAGAAAAUGUAUGAUCAUGUAUGGGAUGUCACAGGUACACAGACAGUAUAGCAGGCUUACUACGGGUCUCGGCGACCUUAAGUCGAUCUGGAUCCUAGUGCCGGUAGCAGUUCGGUUUCCGGGUUGUUACAUUAUGAGGGAAGCUCAUAAUGCGAGGUAUAGCGUUCACCCUGGAGCCACCAAGACGUAUCAAGACCUGAGAAGGGUGUAUUGGUGGCCAGCGAUGAAGAGGGAAGUGGCACAGUUUGUGUCAGCCUGCGAGACAUGUCAGAGGGUGAAGCUAGAACACCAGAAACCGGCUGGAAUGCUUAACCCACUGCCGAUUCCAGAGUGGAAAUGGGAGAACAUCGCUAUGGAUUUUGUAGUGGGGUUACCGGCGACGUCCAACAGGCUAGACUCCAUAUGGGUGAUUGUGGACAGACUGACGAAAUCUGCUCACUUCAUUCCAGUCAAGAGCAACUAUUCUGUGGACAAGUUAGCGCAGGUCUAUGUAGAAGAGAUAGUCAAGCUGCAUGGAGUUCCAAUGUCGAUAGUAUCAGAUAGAGGACCGCAGUUCACCUCCAGGUUUUGGCGGAGUCUGCAAGCUGCUAUGGGUAUAAGAUUGGAUUUCAGCACUGCUUUCCAUCCACAGACAGACGGUCAGUCAGAGAGGACCAUCCAGACCAUAGAAGAUAUGCUGAGAAUGUGUGUGUUAGACUUUGGCGGUUCUUGGAGGCAGCAUCUACCUCUGGUGGAGUUUGCCUACAACAACAGCCAUCAUGCUAGCAUAGGGAUGGCUCCUUAUGAAGCUCUGUAUGGGAGGAAGUGCAGAACACCUGUUUGCUAGGAAGAGGUUGGAGAGAAGGCUCUUGCAGGGCCAGAGUUAGUUGAGCUUACCAGCAAGUUAGUGCCUGUGAUCAGAGAGAGUAUCAGAACAGCUUUAAGUAGGCAAAAAAGCUAUGUAGACAUCCGUAGGAAGCAGAUAGAGUUCCAGGAGGGGGAUAUGGUAUUGCUGAAAGUGUCUCCAAUGAAAGGAGUGGUUCGCUUUGGAAAGAAGGGUAAAUUGGCUCCACGGUACAUAGGUCCCUUUGAGAUCUUGCAGAAGAUCGGGCCUGUGUCGUAUAAGCUGGAUUUACCUGCAUCAAUGGAACGAGUUCACCCGGUAUUUCAUGUUUCUAUGUUGAGAAAAUUUGUGUCAGAUCCAGAGAAGGUUGUUAGUGAGCUUGAGGUGGAAAUCUUAAGCGAUCUCACCUAUGUCGAGCAGCCAGUGCGGAUCGUUGACACCCAGAUUCGAAAGCUAAGAAACAAGGAGAUACCAAUGGUGAAAGUCCUAAGGAACCACCAUAACCUUGAAGAGUGCACCUGGGACACACGGGAGUCGAUGCUCCAGCAAUAUCCAUAUCUGUUUUAAGGUUAGGUUUUCCCCUUUUCUAUGUGUUUAUGUGUAUGUGUGUUGUUAUGUGAGGAACAUUCAGGGACGAAUGUUCUUAAGGGGGGAAGAAUGUAAUAUCCGGCUCGAGUCCGACCUCGGAAUUCCUGUCAUCUGGUGGAAUCUCGGGUGUCGGAACCCUCGAGAAGGGUAAGACCUAUGUUUUCAUGAGUGUUUUACGAGUUUUGACGGUUUUCAAGGGUGAAAGUUGAAAGAAAAGCAACAAGGGAGAAAUGCAAAGGUUCGGCCGCCGAAGGUCACUUUCGGCCGCCGAACAUUGCAUGGUUUCGGAUUCACGUUCGGCUGCCGAAGGUGGUCUGGCCAGCCACCUAUAAAAGGGCCAAGGGUCGGUGGAAGCAGGAUAUUUCUCCUCCACUUGUAGCCAGAGAUGAAUUCCAGCCUCUCCCAAGUUGACUUUCAUGUUUUUCAUGUUUUUCACCAAAUCUUUCAAGGGUUUUAAGAGUUUUGGUGUGUUUUGAAGGUUUUGAGCAAAAAUAGCAAGUUUGGAAGUUUGGAGCUUUGGAAGAGGUUUUCUUCAUAUCUCCACGUUAGGAUCACUCAUCCUCAAGUUCUUAAGGAGGUAAGGGUGGAUCCUGAACUUCUUUGCUGAUUUUUCAAGGUUUUAUGAAAGUUUGAUGGGUAGUAUGCAUGAUUAGGUUAGGUGAGGUUUUUGGGAGAUGUUUAUGUUCAAGCAUGUGAAGUGUUGUUUGAUGUGUUUGUUUGAGGUUUUAGGCUAGUUUUGGACCUCUUUAUGCAUGUUUUAUGGUAUGUGCUAGUUGGGAGUAGUUGAUAUGCAUGUUGGGU
RNAcentral lists this long non-coding RNA (4044 nucleotides) under Manihot esculenta (cassava). RNAcentral's name for it is "long non-coding RNA (MESC_LNC012597)". The record is from RNAcentral. Lineage: Eukaryota; Viridiplantae; Streptophyta; Magnoliopsida; Malpighiales; Euphorbiaceae.